Molecule: unclassified non-coding RNA, 251 nt
Filed under: uncultured fungus
Lineage: Eukaryota; Fungi
Description: sequence contains ITS1
Rfam family: 5.8S ribosomal RNA (bases 1-97)
Source: RNAcentral
GAAAUGCGAUACGUAAUGUGAAUUGCAGGGUUAAGUGAAUCAUCAAAUGUUUGAACGCAAGUUGCGCCGCCUCGGCGGCAUGCUUCUUUGAGUGUCGGUUUCUUUCUGUUGGACGAUUCGCGCCGAAUUGCCCUUGCCCUCUCGCGACGAUGUCGGUUGAAACAUAUGGACGUCGUGUGUGUGUGUGUGGUCGACCGUGGUCGGCUCCUACGAAAGACCUCAAAUGAAGUAGGACGACCCGCUGAAUUUAA